Molecule: ribosomal RNA, 451 nt
Filed under: uncultured bacterium
Lineage: Bacteria
Description: bacterial SSU rRNA
Rfam family: Bacterial small subunit ribosomal RNA
Source: RNAcentral
GUGAGGAAUUUUGCGCAAUGGGCGAAAGCCUGACGCAGCGACGCCGCGUGGGUGAUGAAGGUCUUCGGAUCGUAAAACCCUGUCGAGCGGGACGAAAUGUAUAAAAGAUAAUACCUUUUAUGCUUGACUGUACCGCUGGAGGAAGCUCCGGCUAACUACGUGCCAGCAGCCGCGGUAAUACGUAGGGAGCAAGCGUUGUUCGGAAUUAUUGGGCGUAAAGGGCGUGUAGGCGGUUAUGUAAGUCGAAUGUGAAAUCCCAUAGCUUAACUGUGGAACUGCGUUUGAUACUGCAUAACUUGAGUUCGGGAGAGGGAAGUGGAAUUCCUGGUGUAGCGGUGAAAUGCGUAGAGAUCAGGAGGAACACCGGUGGCGAAGGCGGCUUCCUGGACCGAUACUGACGCUGAGGCGCGAAAGCUAGGGGAGCAAACAGGAUUAGAAACCCCAGUAGUCC